Molecule: long non-coding RNA, 467 nt
Organism: Triplophysa rosa
Lineage: Eukaryota; Metazoa; Chordata; Actinopteri; Cypriniformes; Nemacheilidae
Exons: 4
Source: RefSeq, a predicted model, not a curated record
GGCCAUGGAGUGUUCCACUACAAUACAUUCUGGAGACAUUGCAGAAACGUUUUGGAGGCAGCAGUUGUGCACAGAUGGAGAAGUGAACAGCAAAACAUUUUCCAAAAAUUACAACAGGAGGAAAGGAUUGCUGUAUUUGGAGAUAUGCGUGCAGACUCACCAGGCCACUCAGCAAAAUAUGGAAGCUAGUCUGUCAUGAACAUGGAAAGCAAUACUAUUUUGGACCUUCAGCUUGUUCAGAGCAAUGAAGUUGGAGGAAGUUCUCAUAUGGAGAAAGAAGGGCUAAAGAGAUGUUUGGAUGUGCUAGAGAAUAACAGUUUAUCAGUGAACUACAUAGUCGCUGACCGGCAACCACAGAUCUAGAAAUAUCUGAGAGAACGCAGAAUAACUCAAUUCUACGACAUGUGGCACUUUGAAAAAGGUUUGUCAAAGAAGUUGGACAAACUGGCCAAAAACAAGGACUGUGG